GCCCCCAUCGUCUAGCGGCCUAGGACGUCGCCCUUUCACGGCGGUAGCACGGGUUCGAAUCCCGUUGGGGGUGCCA
This 76-nucleotide transfer RNA is filed under the name Nocardioides sp. RNAcentral describes it as "tRNA-Glu". It matches the Rfam family "tRNA". Rfam says of the family: Transfer RNA (tRNA) molecules are approximately 80 nucleotides in length. Lineage: Bacteria; Bacillati; Actinomycetota; Actinomycetes; Propionibacteriales; Nocardioidaceae. The record is from RNAcentral. RNAcentral also lists the same sequence under 9 other names.